Molecule: ribosomal RNA, 324 nt
Filed under: uncultured eukaryote
Lineage: Eukaryota
Description: partial 18S ribosomal RNA
Rfam family: Eukaryotic small subunit ribosomal RNA
Source: RNAcentral
CCCUUAGAUGUCCUGGGCUGCACGCGCGCUACACUGAUGUGUCCAGUAAGCACCUAACCUCUUCCGAAAGGAACGGGUAACCUUUGCAAAGCACAUCGUGAUGGGGAUAGAUUAUUGCAAUUAUUAGUCUUGAACGAGGAAUUCCUAGUAAGCACAAGUCAUCAGCUUGUGUUGAUUACGUCCCUGCCCUUUGUACACACCGCCCGCCGCUCCUACCGAUUGAAUGUUCCGGUGAGCUCUUCGGACUGCGCGGUCUGCAGUUUCUGCGUUCCGUGCGGAAAGUUGCGCAAACCUUAACAUUUAGAGGAAGGAGAAGUCGUAACA